This 29-nucleotide non-coding RNA is filed under the name Mus musculus (house mouse). Lineage: Eukaryota; Metazoa; Chordata; Mammalia; Rodentia; Muridae. The record is from RNAcentral.
UGCAGGGAACCGGGUGCUUCUGGGAUUAA